UUCAUGGGACGCGGAGGGACAUUACAGAGUUGCAAAACUCCCACAAACCAUCGCGAAUCUUACCCGUACGGUUGCCUCGGCGCUGGCGGUCCGGAAGGCCCUCGGGCCCCCGGAUCCUCGGGUCUCCCGCUCGCGGGAGGCUGCCCGCCGGAGUGCCGAAACCAAACUCUUGAUAUUUUAUGUCUCUCUGAGUAAACUUUUAAAUAAGUCAAAACUUUCAACAACGGAUCUCUUGGUUCUGGCAUCGAUGAAGAACGCAGCGAAAUGCGAUAAGUAAUGUGAAUUGCAGAAUUCAGUGAAUCAUCGAAUCUUUGAACGCACAUUGCGCUCGCCAGUAUUCUGGCGAGCAUGCCUGUUCGAGCGUCAUUUCAACCAUCAAGCUCUGCUUGCGUUGGGGAUCCGCGGCUGCCCGCGGUCCCUCAAAAACAGUGGCGGGCUCGCUAGUCACACCGAGCGUAGUAACUCUACAUCGUUCUGGUCGUGCGGCGGGUUCUUGCCGUAAAACCCCCCAAUUUCUAAGGUUGACCUCGGAUCAGGUAGGAAUACCCGCUGAACUUAAGCAUAUCAUAAGCCGGGGAGGAA
RNAcentral lists this ribosomal RNA (582 nucleotides) under Neurospora terricola. Its description in RNAcentral is "eukaryotic LSU rRNA". The stretch from base 213 to 366 matches the Rfam family "5.8S ribosomal RNA". The record is from RNAcentral. Lineage: Eukaryota; Fungi; Ascomycota; Sordariomycetes; Sordariales; Sordariaceae.